GACGAACGCUGGCGGCGUGCUUAACACAUGCAAGUCGAACGGAAAGGCCCUGCUUUUGUGGGGUGCUCGAGUGGCGAACGGGUGAGUAACACGUGAGUAACCUGCCCUUGACUUUGGGAUAACUUCAGGAAACUGGGGCUAAUACCGGAUAGGAGCUCCUGCUGCAUGGUGGGGGUUGGAAAGUUUCGGCGGUUGGGGAUGGACUCGCGGCUUAUGAGCUUGUUGGGGGGGUAGUGGCUUACCAAGGCUUUGACGGGUAGGCGGCCUGAGAGGGUGAACGGCCACAUUGGGACUGAGAGACGGCCCAGAAGCCUACGGGAGGCAGCAGUGGAGAAUAUUGCACAAUGGGCGGAAGCCUGAGGCAGCAACGCCGCGUGCGGGAUGACGGCCUUCGGGUUGUGAACCGAUGUCGCCUGUGACGAAGCGUGAGUGACGGUAAUGGGUAAAGAAGCACCGGCUAACUACGUG
Molecule: ribosomal RNA, 468 nt
Filed under: uncultured bacterium
Lineage: Bacteria
Description: partial 16S ribosomal RNA
Rfam family: Bacterial small subunit ribosomal RNA
Source: RNAcentral